This 326-nucleotide ribosomal RNA is filed under the name uncultured eukaryote. RNAcentral describes it as "partial 18S ribosomal RNA". It matches the Rfam family "Eukaryotic small subunit ribosomal RNA", at positions 1470 to 1796 of the family's 1831-position model. The record is from RNAcentral.
CCCUUAGAUGUUCUGGGCCGCACGCGCGCUACACUGAUAAUGUCAACAAGCUUUACCUUGGCCGAUAGGUCUGGACAAUCUUCGAACUAUUAUCGUGAUGGGGCUAGAUUAUUGCAACUAUUAAUCUUAAACGAGGAAUUCCUAGUAAGCGCGAGUCAUCAGCUCGCGUUGAUUACGUCCCUGCCCUUUGUACACACCGCCCGUCGCUCCUACCGAUUGGAUUGGCUGGUGAAGCGUUCGGAUUGUGGGUUCGGAGCGGUUCGCCGUUCUGGGCUUGCGAGAAGUUCGUUAAACCCUCCUAUCUAGAGGAAGGAGAAGUCGUAACA